RNAcentral lists this ribosomal RNA (811 nucleotides) under uncultured bacterium. RNAcentral's name for it is "bacterial SSU rRNA". It matches the Rfam family "Bacterial small subunit ribosomal RNA", at positions 1 to 816 of the family's 1533-position model. The record is from RNAcentral.
GAAUUCGCCCUUAGAGUUUGAUCCUGGCUCAGGACGAACGCUGGCGGCGUGCCUAACACAUGCAAGUCGAGCGGAGACAGUGAGUAGCUUGCUAUGAGCUGUUUUAGCGGCGGACGGGUGAGUAACGCGUGAGCAACCUUUCCCAGACAGGGGAAUAACACACCGAAAGGUGUACUAAUACCGCAUAAGACCACGGGAUCACAUGGUUCUGGGGUAAAAGAAUUAUCGGUUUGGGGUGGGCUCGCGUCCGAUUAGGUAGUUGGUGAGGUAACGGCCCACCAAGCCGACGAUCGGUAGCCGACCUGAGAGGGUGAUCGGCCACAUUGGGACUGAGACACGGCCCAAACUCCUACGGGAGGCAGCAGUGGGGAAUAUUGGGCAAUGGAGGAAACUCUGACCCAGCAACGCCGCGUGGAGGAAGAAGGUUUUCGGAUCGUAAACUCCUGUCCUUGGAGACGAGUAGAAGACGGUAUCCAAGGAGGAAGCCCCGGCUAACUACGUGCCAGCAGCCGCGGUAAUACGUAGGGGGCAAGCGUUGUCCGGAAUAAUUGGGCGUAAAGGGCGCGUAGGCGGCUCGGUAAGUCUGGAGUGAAAGUCCUGCUUUUAAGGUGGGAAUUGCUUUGGAUACUGUCGGGCUUGAGUGCAGGAGAGGUUAGUGGAAUUCCCAGUGUAGCGGUGAAAUGCGUAGAGAUUGGGAGGAACACCAGUGGCGAAGGCGACUAACUGGACUGUAACUGACGCUGAGGCGCGAAAGUGUGGGGAGCAAACAGGAUUAGAUACCCUGGUAGUCCACACUGUAAACGAUGAAUGC